UAGACAUUUUAGAGUGAAGAUAAAUCAUUACUCCACACUCCAGAUCAGUGGGUGGCGGUAAUUCGCCAGAAAGCUGUUUAUUAAACGUCAAUAGAAGAAGAUGAAGCCCCUUCACUUCCAGGUCAAUUUGAAAUGGUGAACCUUUGCUCUCGGUUUGAGCUCAGAGGAUUCAGACUGCCAAAAGUGAGAGCGAGCAGCUGUGAUCAUUACGAGCAUAAUGUUUAAGAAAAUUGUAGUCUGCAUAAUCUAUUUUAGAUCUUAAAAUGUGUUUAUUUCUGCAUAAUCUAUUUUACUUCGUAGAUGUGUUUAUUUCAUUCAAAGCAAUCAUAUUAUUUUCAUAACCAAGACGUGUGUCCAUUACAAAGAAAACAUUGUAUUAUGGGUCAGACAGCAACACAGCACGCAACAUGGGAAGCAAGGUCAUUUUGCUGCACAGAUCCUGGGAAGUUUGGUGAUAAACUCUUUCUGUCUCAUUAAGAGAAGGCGUUCUUCUCAGGAGUUAUAUCAAUUUGUCUGUAUCAUCCUUUCCUGUGGAAGUCUAUUAACAAAGAGUGUUAUUGUGAUGGUAAAGAGUUUCUUUUAUCAAGAACAUCUUUUCCAAGGGUAAAAGAAAGCUACAGAAAGGCAGGUGUCCUCUCUGUGUAAACAGUUGAAAUCGCUACGUUUCCCUGCAUGUAAUAACGUACCAACCAGAAAGUGUCCUUGUGUAACGGUGCCAUCAAGUGGGUAAAAGUGUAAUGGCAUACGAUCAGGUGAUGUUCAUAACCAAUCAGGGAUAGCCUGUCCUCUCAGGAGGAGCCUAGUACGGAAGGAGUAGUGUGAGAUUUAAAUGACAUCACUUAAACAGAUAGAUGAAGCCAGCAAUGGUUAGUAUUCCAUAUCUGAAAAGGGCUAUACUUUGUAUGGAUGUGAGGCUUGGCUUAAAGUGUCUCUGAAAUCUCUACAUGGAAGCACUUAACCUGAUUAGAGGCAGGGCUUCCUUCAGUAUAGGCUUUAGUAAGAGAAAAACAGGGCUAGUUCCUUUGCAAGAUAAAGCAUCAGCUUGGUACGCAUGAUGAUCCAUUGGAUUAUGAACUUUGUACUCUGUAAGUACUUUAUGUACUUUGUACUUACAAUAACAAUCUGAGCCUGUCAGUGGCAAAAACAAGCAGUUUUAGUGGAUGUACACUGACGGUGCACUGUUGCCCCAAAGGAUUAGCCUACAUUGUAGCCUGUUUAAGUACAUUUAAAAGUAGAAACUUUUUGACUUUUACUUAUAGGGUAUUAUCUGUACAAAAUGUAUUACAAUAUCAGUCAGGACAUUUUAUUACAUUAUGUUCCUAUGUUUUCGUGCAUAGUUGAGUCGCUUGGCCUUGUUUCCAUGUUGGAGAUAUGGCUUUUUGGCUGCAACUCUUCCAUGAAGACCACUUCUGGUCAGACUUCUCCGGACAGUAGAUGGGUGUAUGAAAUUGAUGAUCAUUAGCACCUGUUUGGUAUAACUGGUUGAUCAUACACCUGACUAUAAUCCUACAAAACCCCUGACUUUGUGCAUCGAUAAGAAUUGAUGCUGUGUUGAAGGCAAAUGGACUGUACUUAUAUAGCGCCUUUGACUACUCAAACUACAUAUCUCAUUCACACUGCUCAUUAAAUUAACUAAUCAUUCACACACCGAAGGUACAGCCCUCGGGAGCAAUGUGCCAAGGACAAAGUGGGCUGGGGGGAAGCUGGGAUUGAACCGCUGACCUUCCGAUGGGUGGACAACCCGCUCUGCCACUCAGCACAGUCGGCUUCAGGCCUUAUGCCUCUCCCUCGUACAGUCUGAAGAGGAGCUGAUGGACUACGUGACUGACAUUGCAGCAUUGUCAUGAGAUAUGUCAAGAUCAUCUCAAAUUUCAAGGCUACAAAUAAAGACCACAUGACGCCAUCAGAAAAUCGACAAUCCUACAAUCAAAGGCACUUUGUGCAGCGAUUGGCCAGGUGUGCGGAGGUGAGAAAAAAGGAAAAUGACAUGCAGACAGGAGGAACUGACUGGGGUAAUCUGAACAUUGAUGCUGGUUUGCAGAGUUGGAGAGGUGACAGCGGCUAACUUCAUGUGGGAGAGCAAGUUUUUCAGAGUCACAAGAUGAGUUGUGUGUCCUCUGUUAGUCCUGGUCACAAGUCGCUGGAGAUCUGGGUGAGGCAGGACUGCCCCAUUUCAUCGUAACGUAUUUCACACCAGUUUAAUAUUCUCACGUCCAGGUUACACAACCUGUACUGUACAGUGGUUUGAAAAAGUGUUUGCCCCCUUCCUGAUUUCUUAUUUUUCUUGUUUGUCACACUUAAAUGUUUCUGAUCAUCAAACAAAUUUAAAUAUUAG
Molecule: long non-coding RNA, 2335 nt
Organism: Siniperca chuatsi (mandarin fish)
Lineage: Eukaryota; Metazoa; Chordata; Actinopteri; Centrarchiformes; Sinipercidae
Exons: 4
Source: RefSeq, a predicted model, not a curated record